This 801-nucleotide ribosomal RNA is filed under the name actinobacterium 00YJ0. RNAcentral describes it as "bacterial SSU rRNA". It matches the Rfam family "Bacterial small subunit ribosomal RNA", at positions 89 to 897 of the family's 1533-position model. The record is from RNAcentral. Lineage: Bacteria; Bacillati; Actinomycetota; Actinomycetes.
CUUUAGAUUGAUAACGGGUGAGUGAGGGGGGGGCAAUCCCCCCUUCAGAGAUGGACGGCCCUGGAAACGGGGUCUAAUACCGGAUACCACUCCUGCCUGCAUGGGCGGGGGUUGAAAGCUCCGGCGGUGAAGGAUGAGCCCGCGGCCUAUCAGCUUGUUGGUGGGGUAAUGGCCCACCAAGGCGACGACGGGUAGCCGGCCUGAGAGGGCGACCGGCCACACUGGGACUGAGACACGGCCCAGACUCCUACGGGAGGCAGCAGUGGGGAAUAUUGCACAAUGGGCGAAAGCCUGAUGCAGCGACGCCGCGUGAGGGAUGACGGCCUUCGGGUUGUAAACCUCUUUCAGCAGGGAAGAAGCGAGAGUGACGGUACCUGCAGAAGAAGCGCCGGCUAACUACGUGCCAGCAGCCGCGGUAAUACGUAGGGCGCAAGCGUUGUCCGGAAUUAUUGGGCGUAAAGAGCUCGUAGGCGGCUUGUCACGUCGGAUGUGAAAGCCCGAGGCUUAACCUCGGGUCUGCAUUCGAUACGGGCUAGCUAGAGUGUGGUAGGGGAGAUCGGAAUUCCUGGUGUAGCGGUGAAAUGCGCAGAUAUCAGGAGGAACACCGGUGGCGAAGGCGGAUCUCUGGGCCAUUACUGACGCUGAGGAGCGAAAAGCGUGGGGAGCGAACAGGAUUAGAUACCCUGGUAGUCCACGCCGUAAACGUUGGGAAACUAGGGUGUUGGGCGACAUUCCACGUCGUCGGUGCCCGCAGCUAACGCAUUAAGUUCCCCCGCCUGGGGAGUACGGCCGCAAGGCUUA